UACGUAGGGGGCGAGCGUUGUCCGGAUUUAUUGGGCGUAAAGAGCUCGUAGGCGGCUUGUCACGUCGGGUGUGAAAGCCCGGGGCUUAACCCCGGGUCUGCAUUCGAUACGGGCAGGCUAGAGUGUGGUAGGGGAGAUCGGAAUUCCUGGUGUAGCGGUGAAAUGCGCAGAUAUCAGGAGGAACACCGAUGGCGAAGGCAGGUCUCUGGGCAUUAACUGACGCUGAGGAGCGAAAGCAUGGGGAGCGAACAGG
RNAcentral lists this ribosomal RNA (253 nucleotides) under uncultured bacterium. Its description in RNAcentral is "partial 16S ribosomal RNA". It matches the Rfam family "Bacterial small subunit ribosomal RNA", at positions 524 to 776 of the family's 1533-position model. The record is from RNAcentral.